This 211-nucleotide ribosomal RNA is filed under the name uncultured bacterium. RNAcentral describes it as "partial 16S ribosomal RNA". It matches the Rfam family "Bacterial small subunit ribosomal RNA", at positions 1290 to 1500 of the family's 1533-position model. The record is from RNAcentral.
AGUUCGGAUUGUAGUCUGCAACCCGACUACAUGAAGCUGGAAUCGCUAGUAAUCGCGGAUCAGCAUGCCGCGGUGAAUACGUUCCCGGGCCUUGUACACACCGCCCGUCACACCAUGAGAGUCGGGAACACCCGAAGUCCGUAGCCUAACAGCAAUGAGGGCGCGGCCGAAGGUGGGUUCGAUAAUUGGGGUGAAGUCGUAACAAGGUACC